UGGACUUGCUGCAGCAGUCCAAGCACAGUCCAGGCGCAUGUUGGAGCAAGAAAAGUUGGCACGUACUGCCUUGAGGUGCACUGGAACUGCUUAAGCAGUACAGUCACGGGUUGAACACAGAUGACGCGCAGAUCGUUUAAAAAAUUUCACUGAUGCUUUAAAACGGGUCGAAUUUUAUGGGCCUGACCCGACUCGGUCAGCCCAAAGUCUUUUUAAAACACUUAAAAGUAGCCAAAAACAGUGAACAUUUAAACUUUCUCAUUACAACUUUUUUUUCAACGUGCCUUUAUCUCAAACUCAACGCACUCUCUUUCUCUACCAACAAUUAAGCUAACAAGAAGUGAGAUCAUUCUUUCGGACUUGUGCUUCAAUUUUCUCCUCUCUUAAAUCAAGAAAGGUAUGUCUCCACGUAAAAACUUGCCAUGAGAAAUUAUCCAGGGAUGAUGAGUCACUCUUCAUAAAAGACUCGAUGAGAGGAGCUCAGUCUGACGAGGCUCCUAUUGAGAUAGUACGAUCAUUCACCAACAUAGACCCGAGCGCCUAGUGCGCCACAGGGAGUCUUUACCCUCUUUUACUCUCUUUUAUUUCUGUAUUGGGGAUAAUGUAAUAUUUUUAGUGGGGGUGGGGGUAUAGUUAUGAUUCAUUUGAUGGUCGGUACCUACUGUCUCAUUUUAUGGCAUGUGGUUUGAUAAAUUGUGGAGACAUAUUCUAUUUUAUUACUUUGAUGUUUGUGUACUUUAGCCCUUGUGGAGUGUGUUUUUUUUAUUGACAUUGCUUUGGAUGGGCCCUUGUUGGGCAUCUUGAUAAUGAUGUCAAAUAUUGUCGUUUUGGUUUUGAAUUUGUGUCAUGCACUUAAUUUAAAUGUGGUAUCCGAUUGUGCCCAUUGCUCUUGUCGCCUUUUGUAUAUACGUGUCUAAUAAACUCCAAGAGUUUUCUUCGAAACUCAGUUCUUUUCUAAGGAGAAGAUUUUUAUUUUCUCUUUCUUUUGAUCUUUUAUUUUUAUUUUAGUUUAGUUUCUUCGUCGAACCGAGUGAUAAUUCACCCAUGAGGGAUGGCGAGGCGACAUUCUUAGGCGAAGUAUCUAGUCAUUUUGUUAACUAGGAAGAAGUAAAAAUUCGAAAAUACUUCCAAAAUGUCAUUGGCAAGGAAUAAAAUAUUUUUGAAAAAAAAAAUCAAAAAUCUAGUUGUAAGAUCAAGGAUGUCUUGAGUUUUCUUUUGAGUGAGAUCACUAAACUCAAUUUUUGGCUCUCUUUUUACAAGGAUGAGUUGUUGACUCAGAGUAACUUAUGAAGCUCAAAUUGCUCAAAUUGGUUGGGAGACUAACUUUUUGCUCUAUGAGUACGAUGCCAUGAGUGGUAAGAUUUUUGAAUAAUUCUUGUGCAUUUGUCUAGUAUAGAACUUGCCCCGAGUGUAUUCAAAGCGAAAUUCUAGGCAAGCUGGGGUUGGAAGAUGACUCGAGGCCCUUUUUGACCCGUCACAUAGCCAAAUUCCCACCCUAAGAUUGUUCCCUAGUUAACCCAUUUGAACCUUUUUGUCCUUCGUUCUUUCUUAUUGUAAUGAUAACCAUUCUAAAACACCUAAACCCUUUUGAAAACCUCUCUUUUGGCACCUAAACUCCUUUGAUGCGUUGCAUGAUUCUAGAUAAUGGAUUAUAGGCAAAAGCCUAAGUUUGGGGGGUUGUGUAGUUGGGAGAAGAUGAUCAAAGAAAAGAUAAGAAAGGUUUAUGUAGGGUUGUCAAUGCAUGUGCUUAAAAGACAAGAGAGGUGCUUGAUAAUAAAAUUGAAUAGCCUAGCCCAUAGAACUUGAAAAAAAAAAUUAAAUGAGUGAGGGGCUAAGAAAGGCUUAUAGGUAGAAAAUCUCUUGAAAAAGUCAAAGAAGUGAAAGAAAGAAAAUAGUGGCUUUGAAUGGUUUGAUAAAUGCUAAACAAAUAGUUAGGAAAAUAUGGAAAAUGAUUUGAAAAAGAAUAAGGUUGAUGGUUUGAAAAUUUUGGGGGUAGAAAGGAUUGAGCUAUGGCAUUGAAGGAGGUCCGUUAGUCACUUGAUCCAUAUGUAUUCCUUCCCGCACCUUAAACCUUCAUCUUGACCCGCAAGACCUUGGUGAUUCCAAACUAAGUAAGUCUACAUUAGUGGCGAAAAACACAAAGGGCAAGCCUAUGGUUCUAUUCAAUGUACUUGAAUUUCUUUGUGAGAGUGAGUGUGAAUUUCUUCUUUAUUUGAGAUCCCUUAAGAAUUGAAAUAUCUUUGGUGUGUGGAGCUAACUCUUGCAUGUGAGCGACAUCGGUACUUUUGGGUAGAGGGUGAUAUUUUACUAUCGGUUUGGGUAAAUGAGUGAAGUAAGUAGCAUUAUGAAGAUUGAUACAAUCGUUGAUGAUUUUGUGUCUUAUCUUAAGAUGUUUUUUGACUUGAAAAAAUUCAUUUGAUACAAACUUGCAUCCUUGCUUCAUAAAUAUGUGCUUAUUGAAAAGUUUUGGUUUGGUUGUUGCCAUGACAUGUGUGGAAAGUGUUUGUAGAGUUUUGUUAGCCUAUUCCUUUAGUAUAGUUUUCUUCUAGGUGAAUUUGAACUAAAUACCCUAUCUCAUUGAAUUUUCUUGGUUGCUUGAGGACAAGCAAUAGUUUAAGUUUGAGGGGGUGAUAAGUCGUCAAUUUGACGACUUGCUAGCACCAAUUAAGACUAAACUAUCAUGUUUUUUCAUUAAUUUGAUGGUACUCUCUUACUUAAUGCCCAUUUAUGUAGGUAAAGGUAAAAAGAGAAGAUUGAGUAAGUUAUUCAAGUCAUUAAGAGGCCAAAUGUGAAGGAAAUGAGUCAUUCGCUUCGCAUCCGCUUUGCAUCCGUUUUAUAUCUGCUUUGGAGCUGCUAGCCAUUUGCUCUCUGUCUGCUCUUCAUCCGCUUUGGAUCUGCUCAAGCAGAUCAAGAAUAAGGUGGCAGUUUUGUAAUUUUCAUCACAUGUAAAGUGGAGUUUAAAAGGGGUCUUUUAGCUCAUUUUUCAAACCUAAGUUUUCAUCUCUUAGCAUGAUAACCUCCCUUUUAGCUCUUAGCUUCUCUCUUCUCUUUUAGCACUUACCUUUUCAUCUUUUAAGAUUUUUGUACUACGCUUAAAUGAAAAAUACAUGGUAGCGAUUUUCCUUUGAAGAAUUAUUGAAACCCCAAGUGUGGAAUUACAUUGUCUCUAUCUCUCAUGGAUGAGGUUAAUGAUAACUUUGGUAUAUUCUUAUCCCUUUUAUCUAUGAGUAGCUAAAUUUUAAUCUUGGGGUUAUGCUUGCUUAGGUAGCGGUAGUGCAUGGAUUUUAGUUAAUUAUUUUUCUAACUAGUUAAUUGUGAUGGGUGUUGCAUUUAUUUCGUGAAUUAAUUGAGAGUUGGGGGUAGCAAACUCCAACCACUCUAGAACCCAUGUCAUUCUUGAAUGAGAGGACUUGGGUGAGGAAUACAUGCAACCAAUAGCUUGAUUCAUUUCAUUUAAUGAUAUCUCUUAGACAUAAGGAUGUCAAUUGAGGCAAUAGAUGUGGAAAAUUGUCACACUUGUGAGGUGUUCGAAAAAACCCAUUUGUGAAAUUUGGUGUUGUAAUUGAAAGAUUGAUAUCAAUACAUUGACAUUUAGCCUACCCAUGACUUUUAGCUAAAAGUUGAAUAAAUGGUCAAAUACCCAUGCAUGAUCUCACACCUAUAAUUGCAUAACCCCAAGGAUUAUUCUCAAUUGAAUUCACUCUUAGCAUUCUUCAAUGUCAAGCUAGUGCACUAAAAUUGAAGUAGUUGUCAUUUAUAAACACAUUCAAACUAAAUCCCUCCCAUUUUACAUUUAUGCUUGCUUUAUUCAUACUACGGGUUAUUUUUUAGUAGACUAUUAAUACUCUUGAGCUUUGUAUUCCAUGCUUUCACUCCUUGUGGAUUUGACCCCAACCUAAGUUGGGUUAUUAUAUUGGAAAUGAUCUCUUACACCAAUUCAAGAGUGUAAUUUGAGCGUUAUCAACAGUAGACCAUUGUGGUCCGAUUGUUUUCUGCAUCAAGCACAUAACGAAAGUUUUAAUGCAUCAGGUUGCCCACGACAAAUUCAAUUCUAAUUUGAACAAUUAUGGAGUGAAAUUAUUGACAUAUUAUUUGUCUGUAUCUACUAGUCUUGUGACUUCUUCUUUUGCUUUUAUUAUCCAUUUGGGUUAAAAACAGGUUAUUCCAGAUUUGCAUGGAGAUAGCAACACAAGACUUUUUGCCUAUUAGACUUUUCACCUACUGGUUCUACAAAAGUGGAAAUCUUCUGUUAAAAAAUAUCAACUUAUGGGUGGUGUUACAAGUCUGAGCCUUACUUGAUUUAUGACCAUAGGGUUGAACUAUUUUAAAGAAUUCCAACGGUGAAUUCAGGGUUCGAAUUCUGUUCAUUAUGUCUGUGAGCUGUUCUUCUUCGUGAUUACUACUGGAUAUUUGCUUCACAACUUUUGAGAAUUCUCCAGACUUUACUAGCUGAUGCAAUCCACGAAAGUCAUAUAAACACAACUACAAUCCCAGAGUUCAGUUUGCUUACCCAACAGCAGUGAAAGUGCGUACAACACUGACGGCCUUCUCUCUUAGACCACUACUAGCUCAAUGAAAAUCCAAGAAGUCACCAAUGGCCAUACAACAAAGAUAUCCCUAACGGCGAUAUCAGCAAUGGUAGCCGAAACGGCGACGUUUCCAAUUGACCUCAUCAAAACUCGGCUUCAACUCCACGGCGAAUCAUCAGCCGUUCGAUUAGUAUCGGAGAUCUUACGCAACGACGGCGUUUUUGGAUUGUACAAAGGAUUGUCGCCGGCGAUUAUAAGGCAUUUGUUUUACACUCCAAUUCGGAUUGUGAAUUAUGAGUUUUUAAGGAAUUUAUUGGUUCGUGAUGAUGAUUGUUCUCUUUCGCUGUCGAGUAAAGCUACUAUUGGUGGAUUAUCUGGUGUUAUUGCUCAGGUUGUGGCAAGCCCAGCUGAUCUUGUCAAAGUCAGGAUGCAAGCAGACAGUAGAAUGGCAAGUCAGGGUCUUCAACCUCGAUAUUGCGGGCCAUUUGAUGCUUUCAAUAAGAUUAUUCGGACUGAAGGUUUCAGGGGACUUUGGAAAGGCGUGCUCCCAAAUGUCCAGAGAGCCUUUUUAGUUAACAUGGGAGAACUGGCGUGCUAUGAUCAUGCAAAGCGCUUUGUGAUCAAUAACAACAUAGCGAAUGAUAAUAUAUAUGCACACACUUUAUCAUCUAUAAUGUCAGGCCUGGCAGCAACUACAUUGAGCUGUCCAGCAGAUGUAAUUAAGACAAGAAUGAUGAAUCAGGCUGCUGAUAAGCAAGGGAAUUAUAAAUAUAGAAACUCAUACGAUUGUCUUGUCAAAACUGUUAGAGUUGAAGGACUCAAAGCAUUGUGGAAGGGAUUCUUUCCAACAUGGGCAAGACUUGGCCCUUGGCAAUUUGUAUUCUGGGUGUCAUAUGAGAAGUUCCGACAAAUUGCUGGUCUCUCUUCGUUCUAACCAAUUCAUCACGCUGUGCCCUUUAUAAAAUGGUGGAGCAAAGGAGAACUGGGGAGAAAGUUCUCUACUUGGAAUUCUUCAGUAGUGUCUAAACGAUAGUGUUUUCUCUAGUUAAGUAGUUUAAACUGUUUGCUGUCUGCUCUUCAUCCAAAUGUUAGCUGGUCGAUCCGCAAGUGUUGGCUUCAGGGUGCCAGCGAAAGUAGCACUUCUCAUAUUUGUGGGGAAGUUCAGAAACAACCAAUUGGAACUUGGACUCUGUCAAUAUAACAUGGAGGUCCAACGUGGGGUAAACCAAGAAUUGGGAUGAGUCAGGCUCUCGUACCAUGGAAGCAGAUGCAAUAUAGGAAGCUAAGUUUUGCGGACUCUUCACUUUUAAUGCCGCAUCCUUGUCGAUUCUUUAAAAAUACAUCACUUUUGGAGAAUCCAACGUGCACUUUAUUGACAUUUUUUAAAGAUUCCGAGCAACAUAGAUAGGUGUGCUUGAUGAAUAGGUCAACAAGAUGCAUCUGCUAACGUGUGAAUUAGGCUUAUGUUACAGGUGAAAUUAUGUUACAGAGAAAACACUCGAUAUUUAAAUGGAGAAGGAUAGAGUGGUCGAUGAGCCCAUUUCAUUGAGUUUUAAACUGUACAUGACUCAAGAUUACUCGAUUAUCCAAAAGGAAUUCUCAUUUCUUGUUAUGAUCAAUGAAGAAAAAACUUUGAUGAAA
Molecule: RNA transcript, 6170 nt
Organism: Capsicum annuum
Lineage: Eukaryota; Viridiplantae; Streptophyta; Magnoliopsida; Solanales; Solanaceae
Gene name: mitochondrial uncoupling protein 3
Exons: 7
Source: RefSeq, a predicted model, not a curated record